GACGAACGCUGGCGGCGUGCUUUAUACAUGCAAGUCGAACGAUGAAGUUCCUUCGGGAAUGGAUUAGUGGCGAACGGGUGAGGAACACGUGAGAAACCUGCCUUUCAUUCUGGGAUAACACCGGGAAACCGGUGCUAAUACCGGAUACUCCGUCUUGGCGGCAUCGCCGAGCCGGGAAAAAAUUUUGAUGAAAGAUGGUCUCGCGGCCUAUCAGCUAGUUGGUGAGGGAAAGGCUCACCAAGGCGACGACGGGUAGCCGGCCUGAGAGGGCGACCGGCCACACUGGGACUGAGGCACGGCCCAGACUCCUACGGGAGGCAGCAGUAGGGAAUAUUGGGUAAUGGGCGCAAGCCUGACCCAGCGACGCCGCGUGAGGGAUGAAGGUCUUCGGAUUGUAAACCUCUUUCAGUAGGGAAGAAGCGAAAGUGACGGUACCUAAAGAAGAAGCACCGGCUAACUAUGUGCCAGCCGCCGCGGUAC
RNAcentral lists this ribosomal RNA (480 nucleotides) under uncultured bacterium. Its description in RNAcentral is "partial 16S ribosomal RNA". It matches the Rfam family "Bacterial small subunit ribosomal RNA", at positions 28 to 523 of the family's 1533-position model. The record is from RNAcentral.